RNAcentral lists this ribosomal RNA (974 nucleotides) under Microbacterium paraoxydans. RNAcentral describes it as "bacterial SSU rRNA". It matches the Rfam family "Bacterial small subunit ribosomal RNA", at positions 33 to 1014 of the family's 1533-position model. Lineage: Bacteria; Bacillati; Actinomycetota; Actinomycetes; Micrococcales; Microbacteriaceae. The record is from RNAcentral.
ACGCUGGCGGCGUGCUUAACACAUGCAAGUCGAACGGUGAACACGGAGCUUGCUCUGUGGGAUCAGUGGCGAACGGGUGAGUAACACGUGAGCAACCUGCCCCUGACUCUGGGAUAAGCGCUGGAAACGGCGUCUAAUACUGGAUAUGUGACGUGACCGCAUGGUCUGCGUUUGGAAAGAUUUUUCGGUUGGGGAGGGGCUCGCGGCCUAUCAGCUUGUUGGUGAGGUAAUGGCUCACCAAGGCGUCGACGGGUAGCCGGCCUGAGAGGGUGACCGGCCACACUGGGACUGAGACACGGCCCAGACUCCUACGGGAGGCAGCAGUGGGGAAUAUUGCACAAUGGGCGAAAGCCUGAUGCAGCAACGCCGCGUGAGGGAUGACGGCCUUCGGGUUGUAAACCUCUUUUAGCAGGGAAGAAGCGAAAGUGACGGUACCUGCAGAAAAAGCGCCGGCUAACUACGUGCCAGCAGCCGCGGUAAUACGUAGGGCGCAAGCGUUAUCCGGAAUUAUUGGGCGUAAAGAGCUCGUAGGCGGUUUGUCGCGUCUGCUGUGAAAUCCCGAGGCUCAACCUCGGGCCUGCAGUGGGUACGGGCAGACUAGAGUGCGGUAGGGGAGAUUGGAAUUCCUGGUGUAGCGGUGGAAUGCGCAGAUAUCAGGAGGAACACCGAUGGCGAAGGCAGAUCUCUGGGCCGUAACUGACGCUGAGGAGCGAAAGGGUGGGGAGCAAACAGGCUUAGAUACCCUGGUAGUCCACCCCGUAAACGUUGGGAACUAGUUGUGGGGUCCAUUCCACGGAUUCCGUGACGCAGCUAACGCAUUAAGUUCCCCGCCUGGGGAGUACGGCCGCAAGGCUAAAACUCAAAGGAAUUGACGGGGACCCGCACAAGCGGCGGAGCAUGCGGAUUAAUUCGAUGCAACGCGAAGAACCUUACCAAGGCUUGACAUAUACGAGAACGGGCCAGAAAUGGUCAAC